CAAUAGCGUAUAUUAAUGUUGUUGCGGUUAAAAAGCUCGUAGUUGGAUCUCGGCAGGCAGGGGGUGGUUCGCUCUUAGCGCUACUGCCCCAUUUGCCUGUGUGAUUGGCGGAGGUUUCGGGGUGCUCUUCGUUGAGUGACCCGGGGCGCCGUCAGGUUUACUUUGAAAAAAUUAGAGUGCUCAAAGCAGGCUUUUCACGCUUGAAUAUUCGUGCAUGGAAUAAUGGAAUAGGAACUCGUUUCUAUUUUGUUGGUUUUCGGAAAUCGAGUUAAUGAUUAAUAGGGACAAUUGGGGGCAUUAGUAUUCAGACGACAGAGGUGAAAUUCUUGGACCGUCUGAAGACUAACUACUGCGAAAGCAUUUGCCAAGAGUGUUUUCAUUAA
RNAcentral lists this ribosomal RNA (383 nucleotides) under uncultured eukaryote. RNAcentral's name for it is "partial 18S ribosomal RNA". It matches the Rfam family "Eukaryotic small subunit ribosomal RNA", at positions 592 to 976 of the family's 1831-position model. The record is from RNAcentral.